This is an RNA transcript of Eucalyptus grandis, 4728 nucleotides long. RefSeq lists it as uncharacterized. The transcript is spliced from 9 exons. Lineage: Eukaryota; Viridiplantae; Streptophyta; Magnoliopsida; Myrtales; Myrtaceae. The record is from RefSeq and is a predicted model, not a curated record.
UAAUGGGUUUAUUCGUCAGGUUUUAAUCCCAUCCUUGGAGUCCUUGACAAUGGCUGGACUUCCCAAUCUAGAAGAUUUAUGGACUGAUGAAUCUCCAUUAGAGCUGAGCAAUCUCCAAUUUCUUAAGUUGUCUUCAUGCAAAUCUCUCUCAAAAGUUAUCAACUCCAGGUUACUAAUAAAACUACACAAGUUACAAACUUUAGAGGUAAAAGAUUGCAUUUCAAUGCAAGAAAUUAUUGACCUUGACGAACUAGGCGUCGGUGCAAAUAUUGAGACUCUCUCUGAGCUAAACACCAUCUAUAUAGAUCAAUUACCAAGCUUGAGGUGCAUAUGGAACAAGAACCCUUGUGGAAUUCUGAGAUUCCAUAAUUUGAAGAAAUUAAAGGUGUGGAGUUGUAACAACCUCCGGUUUCUAUUUUUCCCAUCUAUGGUUCAAUCUCUUGCACAAUUGAGAGAACUACAAGUAUGUUUUUGCAAGAACAUGGAGGCGAUCAUUAUGGAGGAAGAAGAGUUGAGAUUAGAAACAUCAAAAACUCUAGUUUUCCCAAUGUUAACCAUGUUAUAUUUGACAAGGUUGGAAAGCUUGAUGUGCUUCUCUCAUAGAAAGUGUACACUAAAAGCUCCGGAUGAGGAUCACGUCAAAUCGUGCUCUAUUUUCCUCUUCAAUCAUGAGGUUGCAUUUCCUAGCUUGGAGAGAUUAACAAUCGGGGGCAUGAAUGAUAUUGAGAUAAUAUGGGACAACCAAGUUGCUGCAGAUUCUUUCCACAAACUAAAAUUGCUUGUGGUGAAGGAAUGCAAUAAGCUAUUGAACAUUGUUCCUUCUUGCUUUCUUGGAUGGCUCAGGGGCUUGGAAAGUUUGGAGGUAGAAUCAUGUAAUUUGCUUGAAGUUGUUUUUAAACUUCAGCCAUUGAAUCUUCUAGAUGGACAUUCGGUUGCUCAUUUGCCAUUAAAAAGGCUAAACUUAGAUAGAUUGCCAAAGCUAAAGUGUGUAUGGGAUAAGGAACUCCACAGUCAAGUCAAAUUUCAAUGUCUUCAUUCUGUUACCGUUUCAAGAUGUGAGAGCCUCACCUCUCUAUUUCUAGCCUCAGCAGCAAAACAUCUAACCCAACUUGAGGAGUUGGAGAUUAGUGAAUGUGGCAUUGUGGAACUCAUCAAGAAGGAAGACGAACAAGUUCCCAGGUUUGUGUUUCCAAAGUUAACCUCCCUUAAGCUUAAGCAUCUAAUAGAGUUGAAGUGCAUCUACAUUGGAAAACAUGCUUUGCAAUGGCCAGCAUUGAAGACCCUAGAGGUGCUUGACUGUAACAAAGUGGAGAUACUUGCAUCGCAACCUAAGAAUGAGAUGCCACUGGAUAAACAGCCUCUUUUCAUGAUAGAAAAGGGUGCAUUCCCAAAUCUUCAAGAGUUAAAAUUGGAUUUAUCCGGAUGGAUGGAGAUAUGGCAUGGGCAUUUUGAUGAUGGAGAAUUCUUCAGCAAGCUUAGAGUUCUUGAGCUUCAUCAUUUCUCGAUGGAACUCGCAAUAUCCACAUGUUUUUUUCAGAGCUUAGCCAACUUGGAAAAACUACUUGUGUGCAAAUCUUACGGAGAAGAGCUUAACAUCAGUAUAGAAGCCCUAGUAGGUCCAAGUCAUGAGCUAGAAGUAAUAUUACCAUUUUCAUUUCAACAUUUGAAGACCCUAGAAGUGUUAUAUUGCGAUGGAUUAUCUCCAUACAAAAUAUUAUCCUAUCCAAAAAAUUUUCAACACCUUGAGACUCUAGAUAUGUCAUUUUGUGAUGGGUUGUCCAUUAUAUUCAAUCCGACAAUAGCUAGAAAUUUGAUGAAACUCACAAAAUUGAGGAUAAGUAACUGUAAAAUGUUGACAGAAGUCAUUUGUGACGAGGAAGGUGAAGAGGGGCUUAUGAUGGCUUUCAAUCAAUUGAGGUAUAUUAAGCUUGAUGGGUUGAAAAGGUUGAGAUGUUUCAGCUCAAUUAAAUACACUUUAAUGUUCCCUCUCUUGGAAGAUGUCAUAAUGAGUGGAUGUCCUAGCAUGAAGUUCUUCUCCUGGGGACCAAUAGAGGCGCCAAAGUUGGAUAGAGUACAAGUAUCAACGGAAUUGUGGUUUUGGAAGGAAAACCUCAACAUCACCAUCCAAAAUAUGUUUGAAGAAAUGGAAAUGGUUGCUAGAGUGAGGUUUAUACAGCUAUCUGAGAUCCCUGAGUUGAUUGGAAAAUGGCAUGGCGAACUUAAUCCCAUCAAGUUAUCUUGGGAAUUAAGAUCAUUGAUAGUGGAUAAAUGUCCAUCAUUUAUUAAUGCUAUUUCAUCCAAAUUGAUGCGUCUUUUAGUCAAUAUGAGAAGGUUGCAAAUUUGCGAUUGCAAGUCUCUAGAAGAAAUAUUUGUUCUUGAAGGGCUGGUGGGUUUGGGAAGCACUUGUAUGAUACCUUCCUCCAUGACUUUGGACUUGGUGAAUCUACCAAAUUUGAGGCGACUAUGGAACAAAGAUCUUCAAGGAUCGCUACCCUGCAAUUUUCUACGUUCUAUAACCCUUUAUAAUUGCAGCAACUUAAGACAUGCUUUCAAUCCAUCGAUGGCUCAGUGUCUUGCCAAUCUAAAUCGGGUUGAAAUAAAGGAGUGUGAUCAGAUGGAAGGAGUGAUCGAAGAGGAAGAAGGGCAGCGGAGCACACUGGAGAAGAUUACAUUCCCAAAUCUUUCGAUGAUGAAGUUAGAAUGCUUGCCCAAUUUGACUAGCUUCCUUUUGGGGAAGAAUCAAAUACUGGAAUGCCCCAACUUAGUAGAGUUGACCAUUGCCCAUUGCCCCAAUAUGAGUAGUUUGACUGGACAAUCCUUGCUGGAGAUUGACCACUGCAGUCCUUCACUUUUCAGCCCACAGGUACAAUUUCCUCGACUUAAGUAUAUGGCUCUCUCCCACAUGAACAAUUUAAGCAAAGUAUGGACCAACAGUCCUCAAGAUACUCUCACUUUUGAACAUUUAUGGAAAGUGAAGGUUGAGAAUUGUAAGAGCCUUGAAAAUUUGUUUCCACAUUGGGUAGUUACACGUCUAACGCAACUUACGGAUCUUCAAGUGGAGUCAUGCGGGCUUGAGGAAAUAGUCACGAGUGGAGAUGGCACUUCACAUCCUAAUACUGCUCAAUUUCUUUUCCCGCAACUAACUUCACUGGCAUUCCAUGAUAUGCCAAAUCUCAAGAGCUUCUGCCCUAAUUUGCCCACUUUGAAUUGGCCAUUCUUGAAGGAAUUGCGAGUAACACAUUGUGACAAACUGAACUUGUUGUCCUUUGUAACAUCCAUGAACGAGUGGGCUCAAAAAGGCAAUCAACAUGACCUUUCCGACCAUGGAGCGAACUUCUCCAUUGAGAGGGGCAUUCCCAUCUUAGAGAGACUUUUAUUAGUCGACGAGGAUAUUCAAAUGAUACAGAAUGGAAAAUUUUCUGAUGACUUUUUUGGCAAGCCAAAAGCACUAACAUUAGCAUGCUUUCAUGAUGAAAAUGCCGUCUUUCCUGCCAUAAUCCUCCUACAAAGAUUUCAAAAUCUACGAAGCCUUGAGAUCUUAUGUAGUUCUUUUGAAGAAAUAUUCCUUGGUGAAGGGCUUGUUGAUGAGGGAAAACAUCUAGUUCUUGAAAAUUUGAAAGAACUUAAGUUAAGCAAGCUACACAACCUAAAGUGUGUAUGGAGAAAAGGCUAUUUGGUGGCGAAAAUUCUCCAGAGUAUUAGUAAAUUUGAGGUUUGGGAUUGUCCUAGUUUGACAACAUUAUUUCCAGUCGAGACAUCUUUCCAGAAUUUGACGGCAUUAGUAGUGAAGAAUUCUUCUGGAUUGGUACAUCUAGUGACAGUUUCAGCAAUCGCAAAUUUGGUGCAUCUCAUUAACAUGACUAUAAUUGGAUGUGAAAGAAUGAAAGAAGUAGUGGUAAACGAUGAAAAUAGAGAAGGAAAAGUGAUUUCUCUUGGGAAGCUAGAAAGUUUGACCCUUCGACAUUUGCCAAGCCUAGAAUGCUUCUUCUCCACCAAAAGUUGCAUAUUCAAGUUUCCAUCCAUGUAUUCAAUAGAAGUGGAAGAGUGCCCAAAAAUGAAGAUCUUUUGUAAGAGUAUGAUAAGCACACCAAAACUCCGUCAGGUGACAUUGUUCAGAUACAAGUGGCAAGGGGACUGGGAGGGUGAUCUCAACACAACCAUACAAAAGUUAACAACAUAAAUAAAUGCACAUAAUAUUGGGAAGGGUAGAUGCUGCAAGUGGUACAGAGAUCUGGAAGUUCAAAGGCAGAGUCAAAAGUUGAGAUGACGGAAAUUUCUAUUAAGAUGUUACAGCUUACUGCACAAAUUGUGCUCCGGGGAAGACUUGUCAUUGGAGAGAAGAUGAAUAGCGGCUGGCAAUCUGCACCAGGAGACAACUCAUUUUUUCAAGAUCAUACUCUCUCUAAAGGAAGGAGAUGUCUGUGUGUUUGAGCCUGUUAGAAUUGAUAAUAUGGAACUCGAAGUCUCCAUUUUCGGGAGGAAUUUCAAGACCUAGGUGUAGACUUUAGUAUGCCCAUAGAAAAAUCACUGCCUCACUAUGUUUUGUUUAGUUAAUCAGAUCAAAAAAAGCAAAACUUUCUGCCGCAAGUAAUUGAAUGGUGAUGUAUUUCCUUAUUUUUUUGGAGAGUAGUGAACAUUGCACCUGUACGUUGUCCUUUAUUCAACAAAGUAUAAAUCGAACUCACGCGGAGCAUGGGAUUGAUAAAAUAAAAGGUCAAGGGCCAUCCU